UGGGGAAUAUUGCACAAUGGGCGCAAGCCUGAUGCAGCGACGCCGCGUGAGGGAUGACGGCCUUCGGGUUGUAAACCUCUUUCAGCAGGGACGAAGCGCAAGUGACGGUACCUGCAGAAGAAGCACCGGCCAACUACGUGCCAGCAGCCGCGGUAAUACGUAGGGUGCGAGCGUUGUCCGGAAUUACUGGGCGUAAAGAGCUCGUAGGCGGUUUGUCGCGUCGUCUGUGAAAUUCUGCAGCUUAACUGCAGGCGUGCAGGCGAUACGGGCAGACUUGAGUACUACAGGGGAGACUGGAAUUCCUGGUGUAGCGGUGAAAUGCGUAGAUAUCAGGAGGAACACCGGUGGCGAAGGCGGGUCUCUGGGUAGUAACUGACGCUGAGGAGCGAAAGCGUGGGUAGCGAACAGGAUUAGAUACCCUGGUAGUCCACGCCGUAAACGGUGGGUACUAGGUGUGGGUUCCAUUUCACGGGAUCCGUGCCGUAGCUAACGCAUUAAGUACCCCGCCUGGGGAGUACGGCCGCAAGGCUAAAACUUAAAUGAAUUGACGGGGUCAUAGCUGUUUCC
Molecule: ribosomal RNA, 567 nt
Filed under: uncultured bacterium
Lineage: Bacteria
Description: partial 16S ribosomal RNA
Rfam family: Bacterial small subunit ribosomal RNA
Source: RNAcentral